RNAcentral lists this ribosomal RNA (404 nucleotides) under uncultured bacterium. RNAcentral's name for it is "bacterial SSU rRNA". It matches the Rfam family "Bacterial small subunit ribosomal RNA", at positions 976 to 1380 of the family's 1533-position model. The record is from RNAcentral.
CGGGCUCAAACGGCGGAGGAAUGUUUUUGAAAGGAGGCAGCCAGCAAUGGUCUCCGCCGAGGUGCUGCAUGGUUGUCGUCAGCUCGUGCCGUGAGGUGUCGGCUUAAGUGCCAUAACGAGCGCAACCCCUACCGACAGUUGCUAACGAGUUAGGUCGAGGACUCUGUCGGGACUGCCGGCGCAAGCUGAGAGGAAGGCGGGGAUGACGUCAAAUCAGCACGGCCCUUACGUCCGGGGCGACACACGUGUUACAAUGGCAGGUACAGCGGGAAGCCACCUGGCGACAGGGAGCGGAACCCGAAAGCCUGUCUCAGUUCGGAUCGGAGUCUGCAACUCGACUCCGUGAAGCUGGAUUCGCUAGUAAUCGCGCAUCAGCCACGGCGCGGUGAAUACGUUCCCGGGCC